Molecule: ribosomal RNA, 468 nt
Filed under: uncultured bacterium
Lineage: Bacteria
Description: partial 16S ribosomal RNA
Rfam family: Bacterial small subunit ribosomal RNA
Source: RNAcentral
GACGAACGCUGGCGGCGCGCUUAACACAUGCAAGUCGAACGGAAAGGCCCUGCUUUUGUGGGGUGCUCGAGUGGCGAACGGGUGAGUAACACGUGAGUAACCUGCCCUUGACUUUGGGAUAACUUCAGGAAACUGGGGCUAAUACCGGAUAGGAGCUCCUGCUGCAUGGUGGGGGUUGGAAAGUUUCGGCGGUUGGGGAUGGACUCGCGGCUUAUCAGCUUGUUGGGGGGGUAGUGGCUUACCAAGGCUUUGACGGGUAGCCGGCAUGAGAGGGUGACCGGCCACAUUGCGACUGAGAUACGGACCAGACUCCUACGGGAGGCAGCAGUGGAGAAUAUUGCGCAAUGGGCGGAAGCCUGAUGCAGCAACGCCGCGUGCGGGAUGACGGCCUUCGGGUUGUAAACCGCUUUCGCCUGUGACGAAGCGUGAGUGACGGUAAUGGGUAAAGAAGCACCGGCUAACUACGUG